This 795-nucleotide ribosomal RNA is filed under the name uncultured bacterium. Its description in RNAcentral is "bacterial SSU rRNA". It matches the Rfam family "Bacterial small subunit ribosomal RNA", at positions 69 to 858 of the family's 1533-position model. The record is from RNAcentral.
UUUUUACGAUUUUUUUUGGGAAUGACGAAUUUGGGGGAUUGAAGCGGCGGACGGGUGGGUUAACGCGUGGGUUAACCUGCCUUAUACCAGGGGGGAUACCAGUUUGAAACGACUGCUAAUUCCGCAUAGCGCACCAAGAUCGCAUGGUCUGGUGUGAAAAACUCUGGUGGUAUAAGAUGGACCCGCGUCUGAUUAGCUAGUUGGUGGGGUAACGGCCUACCAAGGCAACGAUCAGUAGCCGACCUGAGAGGGUGACCGGCCACAUUGGGACUGAGACACGGCCCAAACUCCUACGGGAGGCAGCAGUGGGGAAUAUUGCACAAUGGGCGAAAGCCUGAUGCAGCGACGCCGCGUGAGCGAAGAAGUAUUUCGGUAUGUAAAGCUCUAUCAGCAGGGAAGAAGAAAUGACGGUACCUGACUAAGAAGCACCGGCUAAAUACGUGCCAGCAGCCGCGGUAAUACGUAUGGUGCAAGCGUUAUCCGGAUUUACUGGGUGUAAAGGGAGCGCAGGCGGUACGGCAAGUCUGAUGUGAAAGCCCGGGGCUCAACCCCGGUAUUGCAUUGGAAACUGUCGGACUAGAGUGUCGGAGGGGUAAGUGGAAUUCCUAGUGUAGCGGUGAAAUGCGUAGAUAUUAGGAGGAACACCAGUGGCGAAGGCGACUUACUGGACGAUAACUGACGCUGAGGCUCGAAAGCGUGGGGAGCAAACAGGAUUAGAUACCCUGGUAGUCCACGCUGUAAACGAUGAAUACUAGCUGUUGGGGAGCAUUGCUCUUCCAGUGGCGCAGCAAACGC